This is a long non-coding RNA of Tachysurus vachellii, 369 nucleotides long. RefSeq lists it as uncharacterized. The transcript has 3 exons. Lineage: Eukaryota; Metazoa; Chordata; Actinopteri; Siluriformes; Bagridae. The record is from RefSeq and is a predicted model, not a curated record.
UUGGACGGUAUGUUGCUAACUUUAACUGAGUCAAAGCUUUGUAUCCUGUCACGUAGCAAACAGGAGAACUCAACAGCGAUGUCCAGGUCGCUAUCCGUGCGGUUCUUACACUCCACACUCAAGCGGAAGACUCCGGAGUAAGAGCCGCAGGUGGAGAAAGCAAAGAUGGCGAAAAACUGGUAAAGAAGAGAGAGAGGUGAAUGAAAUAAUGUAUAUGCAGGGGUACGAAGACUACAGAUCUGGAAGUUGCUUUAGAUAAAAUCUCAUGCCAAAUAAUGAAGAUAAACAAAAUACCCACUUGAUAUUUGACUAGAUCUGAGAGUUGAUGGUUCAUUUUAUAGGCUUUUUGUUGACAUAAUUCACAAUAUA